Long non-coding RNA from Rhinolophus ferrumequinum (greater horseshoe bat), 409 nucleotides. RefSeq lists it as uncharacterized. The record is from RefSeq and is a predicted model, not a curated record. The transcript is spliced from 3 exons. NCBI's taxonomy places the organism in Eukaryota, Metazoa, Chordata, Mammalia, Chiroptera, Rhinolophidae.
CUUUACUUGAAAGUUGCCUGUCCAUUUCCGGGUUGACAGUCAUCACAGUCAGGCCUGUUGCCUGGGCCACGCAUGGGCAUUUGAGCUCACUGAAUUCUCACAUCAGCCCUGUCAGGGCAGGUGUGCUGACUUCUUCUUCCAGGACUUGCUGAGUCUGAAAGGUCACAGAAACGUGGGGAAGGAGAGAGAAGUGCUGGAGAACGUUCCUGAUCUCCUCAGAAGGCAGUUCUCAUGAGCGGGAGCCAUGGCCGACUUUUCUGGCUGGGGAAGGCAGAGGCAAGACUGAAUGGAGGUAUACAUGUGCUGCCUGGGAGACUGUUCUAGAAAAGGUGGCCCCACGACAGACCAGUCAAAGGAAACCCAAGGAGAGUCCUACUUUCCUCCAACAUCAAGAAACAGUCAGACGAAG